RNAcentral lists this long non-coding RNA (1417 nucleotides) under Homo sapiens (human). Its description in RNAcentral is "long non-coding RNA NONHSAT160693.1". Lineage: Eukaryota; Metazoa; Chordata; Mammalia; Primates; Hominidae. The record is from RNAcentral.
GAUAGUGGAUGUAAAUCCUGAGGUUAACUGAUACCUGCUUAUGAGAGAACCAUCUCAUCAAAUAUGUGAGCAAUCCAAUUCCAGAAUUCCACUUUCCCAGGACUACUCAUGGUACAAAUUACUGUAUUAGUCAGGGUUGUAGCAGGAAACAGAUGGCACAACCAAAAGUAAUGAUCAAAGAGGGUGUAGGCAAGAAUAACAAAAAUCUAUGGAGAUGGUGCAGCAGCUUAGGCUAAGCAAGAGCAAGAUCUUUCUACUUCUAAAAUGAAAAGGCAGGGAAAAGUUGUUCCUGAACCCAUGAGAUGUAUAUAUGGAGAAGGCUAUGUCAGAAGCUGUGAUGCUGAGGAACACAGCUAUUUCCAAGCCACUGCAGGGCAGGAAGGGAAUCAUCAUGACUUUGUACCAUUUCGUAUUGGAAUUUCUUCUGUGAAGCAAAAACAGUCCCAAAAUGAAGGAUCUUCAGGUGUCAUGGGAACGGCAGAUGACAUUAAAUCAUUAAAGUUGAGAAUAGUAAAUUGCCUCUGGGUUGGUUUGGAAUCAUCCUGAGAUGGAACCUAAAAGACAAAAGCAGAUUACCUUAUUGUUAUAUUGCAUGUUAAUCUUAUGAUCAAUUUCAUAAUCAUGAAAAUAAGUAAGACCAACUUACAUUUCAGUAGUAUUAAAUGACAACAUAGGAUUCCUAGAACAUUGUUUGUAUUUCUUAUAUUAGUGUUGCCAAUACAACAAAUCAAAAAAAAAUGAAAUAGAAAGGGAGUGUGAAGCUGAGAUUUAAAAACAGAAGGACGAGUAACCUGGGUCAGAACAUCUUCAGAUAACAGAUCCAUCGGGUUUCCUAAGAGCAACUGCAACAAAAUGGUGCUCAUCUAUUUUGCUUUCCUGAAAGAUAAAAGGUACCCAAGUCAGCAUAAAGUGAAAUUCAGUAAGGAUAAAUUUAAGAUAUGUUUAAAGAGGAAAAAUAUAAGACUAAGUAUCAGAAGAUUUACUAUGUCAAAGUUAUCGCAAGCCUAAUGGGCCUAUCAGAGAGCCUGUUCCAAGGAGAGACAGACACACAGAGAGGAGACAGAAAAGGUCAUUUGAAGGUGAAGGCAAAAAUUGGAGUGAUGCAACUGCAAGCCAAGGACUGCUAGGAAUGAGCAGAAACUAGGAAGAAGCAAGGAAGGAUUCUUUCUUAGAACCUUCAGAGAGACCAUGGCCCUGCUGACACCUUAACUUCCAGCCUUCCAGAACUUACAGAAGAGCUUUCGGUCACUUUAAGACACCAUGUUUGAGGUACUUUGUUAAGCAGCCUGAAGAAACUAAUAUACACAUGGAUACAAUUUAAAUUAUACAUAAGCACACACAUUCGCGUACCCUUCGGAGUUUUAAUUCUAUGUCCCUGCAGUCAAAUGUUCAAAUGCUGGUCCAUCACUUCUUAGCU